AUUUAUAAGAAUAUAACUUGUAAAUAUUAAUAUUUUUACAAGUGUUGAUUAUUUUAGGUUGUUUUUAAAUGUUUUUAAUUUGGCAUUUUAAGGGGAAGUAACUUUAAAACAGUGCAUUUUCUGAAGGAUUCUACAUGGAAUUUUCCUAUUUUGUAUUUUAGCCGGAAAAAAUGUACAGUGACCCUAUCUUUUCUUUUGAUAUUCUCAAAGCAUUGUCUGAAAGCUAUCUUUUCCUAAUUUAUUUUACAAUUCUAUCAUUUUGUUUAAUUUCUAACCUCAAAAUGGUGUUUUUUCCUGUAUAAUCCAUACAAAAUGUGUCAUUUUGUCACAACCUGUAGCUUGAGAAAAUGCACGGUG
This 357-nucleotide long non-coding RNA is filed under the name Mytilus galloprovincialis (Mediterranean mussel). The record is from RNAcentral. Lineage: Eukaryota; Metazoa; Mollusca; Bivalvia; Mytilida; Mytilidae.